GGACAGUAUUAGCUUGGAGGGUUUUGGCAUUAAUUGGUCUAAUCCCCUGUGCAGUCCUACUGUUCGGCCUGUUUUUCAUUCCAGAGUCUCCUAGAUGGCUGG
Long non-coding RNA from Eucalyptus grandis, 102 nucleotides. RefSeq lists it as uncharacterized. Lineage: Eukaryota; Viridiplantae; Streptophyta; Magnoliopsida; Myrtales; Myrtaceae. The transcript has 2 exons. The record is from RefSeq and is a predicted model, not a curated record.